This 1134-nucleotide ribosomal RNA is filed under the name Escherichia coli. Its description in RNAcentral is "partial 23S ribosomal RNA". It matches the Rfam family "Bacterial large subunit ribosomal RNA", at positions 614 to 1751 of the family's 2925-position model. The record is from RNAcentral. Lineage: Bacteria; Pseudomonadati; Pseudomonadota; Gammaproteobacteria; Enterobacterales; Enterobacteriaceae.
AAUGGGUCAGCGACUUAUAUUCUGUAGCAAGGUUAACCGAAUAGGGGAGCCGAAGGGAAACCGAGUCUUAACUGGGCGUUAAGUUGCAGGGUAUAGACCCGAAACCCGGUGAUCUAGCCAUGGGCAGGUUGAAGGUUGGGUAACACUAACUGGAGGACCGAACCGACUAAUGUUGAAAAAUUAGCGGAUGACUUGUGGCUGGGGGUGAAAGGCCAAUCAAACCGGGAGAUAGCUGGUUCUCCCCGAAAGCUAUUUAGGUAGCGCCUCGUGAAUUCAUCUCCGGGGGUAGAGCACUGUUUCGGCAAGGGGGUCAUCCCGACUUACCAACCCGAUGCAAACUGCGAAUACCGGAGAAUGUUAUCACGGGAGACACACGGCGGGUGCUAACGUCCGUCGUGAAGAGGGAAACAACCCAGACCGCCAGCUAAGGUCCCAAAGUCAUGGUUAAGUGGGAAACGAUGUGGGAAGGCCCAGACAGCCAGGAUGUUGGCUUAGAAGCAGCCAUCAUUUAAAGAAAGCGUAAUAGCUCACUGGUCGAGUCGGCCUGCGCGGAAGAUGUAACGGGGCUAAACCAUGCACCGAAGCUGCGGCAGCGACACUAUGUGUUGUUGGGUAGGGGAGCGUUCUGUAAGCCUGUGAAGGUGUGCUGUGAGGCAUGCUGGAGGUAUCAGAAGUGCGAAUGCUGACAUAAGUAACGAUAAAGCGGGUGAAAAGCCCGCUCGCCGGAAGACCAAGGGUUCCUGUCCAACGUUAAUCGGGGCAGGGUGAGUCGACCCCUAAGGCGAGGCCGAAAGGCGUAGUCGAUGGGAAACAGGUUAAUAUUCCUGUACUUGGUGUUACUGCGAAGGGGGGACGGAGAAGGCUAUGUUGGCCGGGCGACGGUUGUCCCGGUUUAAGCGUGUAGGCUGGUUUUCCAGGCAAAUCCGGAAAAUCAAGGCUGAGGCGUGAUGACGAGGCACUACGGUGCUGAAGCAACAAAUGCCCUGCUUCCAGGAAAAGCCUCUAAGCAUCAGGUAACAUCAAAUCGUACCCCAAACCGACACAGGUGGUCAGGUAGAGAAUACCAAGGCGCUUGAGAGAACUCGGGUGAAGGAACUAGGCAAAAUGGUGCCGUAACUUCGGGAGAAGGCACGC